UACGUAGGGGGCGAGCGUUGUCCGGAUUUAUUGGGCGUAAAGAGCUCGUAGGCGGUUUCGUAAGUCGGAUGUGAAAACUCCAGGCUCAACUUGGAGACGCCAUUCGAUACUGCGAUGACUUGAGUCCGGUAGGGGAGUGUGGAAUUCCUGGUGUAGCGGUGAAAUGCGCAGAUAUCAGGAGGAACACCGGCGGCGAAGGCGGCACUCUGGGCCGGUACUGACGCUGAGGAGCGAAAGCGUGGGGAGCGAACAGG
Molecule: ribosomal RNA, 254 nt
Filed under: uncultured bacterium
Lineage: Bacteria
Description: partial 16S ribosomal RNA
Rfam family: Bacterial small subunit ribosomal RNA
Source: RNAcentral